RNAcentral lists this ribosomal RNA (500 nucleotides) under uncultured bacterium. RNAcentral describes it as "partial 16S ribosomal RNA". It matches the Rfam family "Bacterial small subunit ribosomal RNA", at positions 28 to 523 of the family's 1533-position model. The record is from RNAcentral.
GACGAACGCUGGCGGCGUGCCUAAUACAUGCAAGUCGAGCGAGACUCUUCGGAGUCUAGCGGCGGACGGGUGAGUAACACGUGGGCAACCUGCCUGUAAGACUGGGAUAACACCGGGAAACCGGUGCUAAUACCGGAUAAUCCUUUUUCUCUCAUGAGGAAAAGCUGAAAGUCGGUUUCGGCUGACACUUACAGCUGGGCCCGCGGCGCAUUAGCUAGUUGGUGAGGUAACGGCUCACCAAGGCGACGAUGCGUAGCCGACCUGGGAGGGUGAUCGGCCACACUGGGACUGAGACACGGCCCAGACUCCUACGGGAGGCAGCAGUAGGGAAUCUUCCACAAUGGACGAAAGUCUGAUGGAGCAACGCCGCGUGAGCGAUGAAGGCCUUCGGGUCGUAAAGCUCUGUUGUUAGGGAAGAACAAGUACCGGAGUAACUGCCGGUACCUUGACGGUACCUAACCAGAAAGCCACGGCUAACUACGUGCCAGCAGCCGCCGUAA